AAUAGAUACCCGGGUAGUCCACGCUGUAAACGUUGGGCGCUAGGUGUGGGGGGCCUCUCCGGUUCUCUGUGCCGCAGCUAACGCAUUAAGCGCCCCGCCUGGGGAGUACGGCCGCAAGGCUAAAACUCAAAGGAAUUGACGGGGGGCCCGCACAAGCGGCGGAGCAUGCGGAUUAAUUCGAUGCAACGCGAAGAACCUUACCUGGGUUUGACAUGGCCGCAAAACCGGCAGAGAUGUCGGGUCCUUCGGGGGCGGUCACAGGUGGUGCAUGGCUGUCGUCAGCUCGUGUCGUGAGAUGUUGGGUUAAGUCCCGCAACGAGCGCAACCCUCGUUCGAUGUUGCCAGCGGUUCGGCCGGGGACUCAUCGAAGACUGCCGGGGUCAACUCGGAGGAAGGUGGGGAUGACGUCAAGUCAUCAUGCCCCUUAUGUCCAGGGCUUCACGCAUGCUACAAUGGCCGGUACAAUGGGCUGCGAUACCGUGAGGUGGAGCGAAUCCCGAAAAAGCCGGUCUCAGUUCGGAUCGGGGUCUGCAACUCGA
RNAcentral lists this ribosomal RNA (539 nucleotides) under uncultured bacterium. Its description in RNAcentral is "bacterial SSU rRNA". It matches the Rfam family "Bacterial small subunit ribosomal RNA", at positions 777 to 1315 of the family's 1533-position model. The record is from RNAcentral.